Molecule: ribosomal RNA, 113 nt
Filed under: Acanthosepion pharaonis
Lineage: Eukaryota; Metazoa; Mollusca; Cephalopoda; Sepiida; Sepiidae
Source: RNAcentral
UACGGCUGUAUCAUGCUGAAACACUGUUUCUCAUAUGAUCACAGAAGUUAAGCAAUGUCGAGCCUGGUCAUUACCUUGAUGGGUGACUGCUGGGGAAUAUUAAGUGCUGUAAG